GACGAACGCUGGCGGCGUGCUUAACACAUGCAAGUCGAACGGAAAGGCCCUGCUUUUGUGGGGUGCUCGAGUGGCGAACGGGUGAGUAACACGUGAGUAACCUGCCCUUGACUUUGGGAUAACUUCAGGAAACUGGGGCUAAUACCGGAUAGGAGCUCCUGCUGCAUGGUGGGGGUUGGAAAGUUUCGGCGGUUGGGGAUGGACUCGCGGCUUAUCAGCUUGUUGGUGGGGUAGUGGCUUACCAAGGCUUUGACGGGUAGCCGGCCUGAGAGGGUGACCGGCCAAAUUGGGACUGGGAUACGGCCCAGACUCCUACGGGAGGCAGCAGUGGGGAAUAUUGAAAAAGGGGCGGAAGCCUGAUGCAGCAACGCCGGGUGGGGGAUGACGGCCUUGGGGUUUUAAACCGCUUUCGCCUGGGACGAAGCGGGGGGGACGGUAAUGGGUAAAGAAGCACCGGCUAACUACGU
Molecule: ribosomal RNA, 467 nt
Filed under: uncultured bacterium
Lineage: Bacteria
Description: partial 16S ribosomal RNA
Rfam family: Bacterial small subunit ribosomal RNA
Source: RNAcentral